UACGAAGGGGGCUAGCGUUGUUCGGAAUUACUGGGCGUAAAGGGCGCGUAGGCGGUACUUCAAGUCAGGCGUGAAAGCCCCGGGCUCAACCUGGGAACCGCGCUUGAGACUGGAGAACUAGAGUUCGGGAGAGGAUGGUGGAAUUCCCAGUGUAGAGGUGAAAUUCGUAGAUAUUGGGAAGAACACCGAUGGCGAAGGCAGCCAUC
This 206-nucleotide ribosomal RNA is filed under the name uncultured bacterium. RNAcentral describes it as "partial 16S ribosomal RNA". It matches the Rfam family "Bacterial small subunit ribosomal RNA", at positions 524 to 729 of the family's 1533-position model. The record is from RNAcentral.